Molecule: long non-coding RNA, 418 nt
Filed under: Homo sapiens (human)
Lineage: Eukaryota; Metazoa; Chordata; Mammalia; Primates; Hominidae
Description: non-protein coding lnc-ZIC1-1:5
Source: RNAcentral
CUCCUGGGAAGCUCUAGGAUGUGACUUUAAGCUGGAAAGACUCUCAGGAGCUAGGUUUGAUAUGGCACAAUCUCAAGGCAUCGCUAAGUCUGAAGUUCUUCCAGCAGUAAACCACAAAGGACAAGCAGCUCAGAGAUUAGCGAAUGCGUCUCAGCUGUCCUAGAAAAGUGCUGUCAGCAAGUCUGAAGAGUUUCCCAGAAGCCCUGAAAGGACGCAAUAGCAUCAUUUAGCAGAAAGAAACAGCCCUGGAUUAAUGUUCUUUUGGGAUUCAUCUUCUGGCUUUGUGAUUUUGGGCAAGUUACUUAUCUUCCUCCAUUUAUUCACAUAUAUAAUGAGAGGAGUAGUACCUACCUUACAAACUUUUCUGUGAGAAGCAAAAAAAAUAAAAAUAAAAAAUAAAAAAUAAAAUUGUUAAAUA